CCCUUUCCCCAUGUCUGUUGCCAUUGAUUGUGUGCACCUGGUGCCCUGUGUUGUAUCCUCCCCGCUCACCUGUGUUCUGUUGGGUUGAUUGGGUUGGGCAUUUAGGCUCUGGGGUUUUUCUGUUUGGAGGUAGUGUGUGUGAGAUCCUGGAGGCUGUGCUCAGGGAAACAACAGCAGGAUUGAGGCUGUGUGUCAUUGUGAUCAUUUAAUAAAUGCCCACACCGGGUUGUAUUUUUGGACGUUCUGCCUUUGCCUCCUUGCUUGGUCGGGCCACUCAAUUGUCAGCGUCACAAACAGAACAUCUAGAAACAUCUGAGGAGAGGAAGAAAGAGUUUAUCUGUGCUUCCAAACUCUCAUUAUUAUUACAUCCUCCCUCUGCCGGAGCAGGAAGUGAGGUGGUCAUGCUGACGGCAGAUGGCUCUUUAUCGCUGGAGCCCUGGCCUCUCCAUGACAACCGCAGAGAGCAGGAAGUGACACAUCCCGCCGAGUGGAGAGAGAUUCAUCUGGACACACAGUAGAGUAACACAGAUGAAAGGAUGCGGACACCCUAUCGUGAAUAAAGGACGCCAGCCUCCACCUGUUGUCGGGGGGGCUUCAAACGGACAAGAGUAUGGUGUGUUUGUGGGUCAGAUGGUGGAACCAAAUGACAAAUCAUGUUAUUAUAGAUCUCAUUUGGCACGUUGUUUUAAGUAUUUUUGGCACAUUAUUCAUCACAUUAUUUCUGUCUCCUUAUCUUUGAUGAUGCCUGAUCAUAAAAGUGAUAUU
Long non-coding RNA from Notothenia coriiceps (black rockcod), 765 nucleotides. RefSeq lists it as uncharacterized. The transcript is spliced from 3 exons. Lineage: Eukaryota; Metazoa; Chordata; Actinopteri; Perciformes; Nototheniidae. The record is from RefSeq and is a predicted model, not a curated record.